Molecule: ribosomal RNA, 484 nt
Filed under: uncultured bacterium
Lineage: Bacteria
Description: partial 16S ribosomal RNA
Rfam family: Bacterial small subunit ribosomal RNA
Source: RNAcentral
AUUGAACGCUGACGGCAGGCCUAACACAUGCAAGUCGAGCGGAUGAAGGGAGCUUGCUCCUGGAUUCAGCGGCGGACGGGUGAGUAAUGCCUAGGAAUCUGCCUGGUAGUGGGGGAUAACGUCCGGAAACGGGCGCUAAUACCGCAUACGUCCUGAGGGAGAAAGUGGGGGAUCUUCGGACCUCACGCUAUCAGAUGAGCCUAGGUCGGAUUAGCUAGUUGGUGGGGUAAAGGCCUACCAAGGCGACGAUCCGUAACUGGUCUGAGAGGAUGAUCAGUCACACUGGAACUGAGACACGGUCCAGACUCCUACGGGAGGCAGCAGUGGGGAAUAUUGGACAAUGGGCGAAAGUCUGAUCCAGCCAUGCCGCGUGUGUGAAGAAGGUCUUCGGAUUGUAAAGCACUUUAAGUUGGGAGGAAGGGCAGUAAGUUAAUACCUUGCUGUUUUGACGUUACCAACAGAAUAAGCACCGGCUAACUUCGUG